This 259-nucleotide ribosomal RNA is filed under the name uncultured prokaryote. RNAcentral's name for it is "partial 16S ribosomal RNA". It matches the Rfam family "Bacterial small subunit ribosomal RNA", at positions 524 to 782 of the family's 1533-position model. The record is from RNAcentral.
UACGUAGGUGGCAAGCGUUGUCCGGAUUUAUUGGGCGUAAAGCGAGCGCAGGCGGUUCCUUAAGUCUGAUGUGAAAGCCCACGGCUCAACCGUGGAAGGUCAUUGGAAACUGGGGAACUUGAGUGCAGAAGAGGAGAGUGGAAUUCCAUGUGUAGCGGUGAAAUGCGUAGAUAUAUGGAGGAACACCAGUUGCGAAGGCGAUUCUCUGGACUGUAACUGACGCUGAGGCACGAAAGCGUGGGGAGCAAACAGGAUUAGA